This 1542-nucleotide ribosomal RNA is filed under the name Enterobacter hormaechei. RNAcentral's name for it is "bacterial SSU rRNA". It matches the Rfam family "Bacterial small subunit ribosomal RNA". Lineage: Bacteria; Pseudomonadati; Pseudomonadota; Gammaproteobacteria; Enterobacterales; Enterobacteriaceae. The record is from RNAcentral. RNAcentral also lists the same sequence under 1 other name.
AAAUUGAAGAGUUUGAUCAUGGCUCAGAUUGAACGCUGGCGGCAGGCCUAACACAUGCAAGUCGAACGGUAACAGGAAGCAGCUUGCUGCUUCGCUGACGAGUGGCGGACGGGUGAGUAAUGUCUGGGAAACUGCCUGAUGGAGGGGGAUAACUACUGGAAACGGUAGCUAAUACCGCAUAACGUCGCAAGACCAAAGAGGGGGACCUUAGGGCCUCUUGCCAUCGGAUGUGCCCAGAUGGGAUUAGCUAGUAGGUGGGGUAACGGCUCACCUAGGCGACGAUCCCUAGCUGGUCUGAGAGGAUGACCAGCCACACUGGAACUGAGACACGGUCCAGACUCCUACGGGAGGCAGCAGUGGGGAAUAUUGCACAAUGGGCGCAAGCCUGAUGCAGCCAUGCCGCGUGUAUGAAGAAGGCCUUCGGGUUGUAAAGUACUUUCAGCGGGGAGGAAGGCGAUAAGGUUAAUAACCUUGUCGAUUGACGUUACCCGCAGAAGAAGCACCGGCUAACUCCGUGCCAGCAGCCGCGGUAAUACGGAGGGUGCAAGCGUUAAUCGGAAUUACUGGGCGUAAAGCGCACGCAGGCGGUCUGUCAAGUCGGAUGUGAAAUCCCCGGGCUCAACCUGGGAACUGCAUUCGAAACUGGCAGGCUAGAGUCUUGUAGAGGGGGGUAGAAUUCCAGGUGUAGCGGUGAAAUGCGUAGAGAUCUGGAGGAAUACCGGUGGCGAAGGCGGCCCCCUGGACAAAGACUGACGCUCAGGUGCGAAAGCGUGGGGAGCAAACAGGAUUAGAUACCCUGGUAGUCCACGCCGUAAACGAUGUCGACUUGGAGGUUGUGCCCUUGAGGCGUGGCUUCCGGAGCUAACGCGUUAAGUCGACCGCCUGGGGAGUACGGCCGCAAGGUUAAAACUCAAAUGAAUUGACGGGGGCCCGCACAAGCGGUGGAGCAUGUGGUUUAAUUCGAUGCAACGCGAAGAACCUUACCUACUCUUGACAUCCAGAGAACUUUCCAGAGAUGGAUUGGUGCCUUCGGGAACUCUGAGACAGGUGCUGCAUGGCUGUCGUCAGCUCGUGUUGUGAAAUGUUGGGUUAAGUCCCGCAACGAGCGCAACCCUUAUCCUUUGUUGCCAGCGGUUAGGCCGGGAACUCAAAGGAGACUGCCAGUGAUAAACUGGAGGAAGGUGGGGAUGACGUCAAGUCAUCAUGGCCCUUACGAGUAGGGCUACACACGUGCUACAAUGGCGCAUACAAAGAGAAGCGACCUCGCGAGAGCAAGCGGACCUCAUAAAGUGCGUCGUAGUCCGGAUUGGAGUCUGCAACUCGACUCCAUGAAGUCGGAAUCGCUAGUAAUCGUGGAUCAGAAUGCCACGGUGAAUACGUUCCCGGGCCUUGUACACACCGCCCGUCACACCAUGGGAGUGGGUUGCAAAAGAAGUAGGUAGCUUAACCUUCGGGAGGGCGCUUACCACUUUGUGAUUCAUGACUGGGGUGAAGUCGUAACAAGGUAACCGUAGGGGAACCUGCGGUUGGAUCACCUCCUUA